This 345-nucleotide unclassified non-coding RNA is filed under the name soil metagenome. RNAcentral describes it as "partial contains 5.8S ribosomal RNA, internal transcribed spacer 2, and large subunit ribosomal RNA". The stretch from base 1 to 120 matches the Rfam family "5.8S ribosomal RNA", at positions 35 to 154 of the family's 154-position model. The record is from RNAcentral.
GAUGAAGAACGUAGCGAAAUGCGAUACGUAAUGUGAAUUGCAGAAUUCAGUGAAUCAUCGAGUCUUUGAACGCACAUUGCGCCCCCUGGUAUUCCGGGGGGCAUGCCUGUCCGAGCGUCAUUGCUGCCCUCAAGCGCGGCUUGUGUGUUGGGCCUCCGUCCUCCUCCCGGGGGACGGGCCCGAAAGGCAGCGGCGGCACCGCGUCCGGUCCUCGAGCGUAUGGGGCUUCGUCACCCGCUCUUGUAGGCCCGGCCGGCGCUUGCCGACACAUCAAUCUUUUUUCCAGGUUGACCUCGGAUCAGGUAGUGAUACCCGCUGAACUUAAGCAUAUCAAUAAGCGGAGGA